GCCUGCGCGGUGGAGCCGCCGCAGUGCCCCUUCUCCCCGAGGAGAUGGAGGCGGCGGCGCGGCGGGGGCCGCGGGUGCAGGAACGGCAGGAGCAGGACGAUGGUGGGCCGGUGCUCUCACGAUCCCUGUCGGGACAGUCCUACUGGCUGGACCUGUGGCUCUUCAUCCUCUUCGACCUGGCGCUUUUUCUGCUUAUUUACCUGCUGCCCUGAGGGCGCGGCCCAGGGCCAUUGCCACCAAGGGAAUUCUCACCUAUUUCGCACCUUACGAACACAGGCGGUGGAAGAGGAGAACCAUUAGUGCGGGAUAAGCAGCUGGGAACAUGACCCCGCUUGAGUCUCGGUGGAGGAGGCACGUUUUUAUACUGUAUCGUGAUGGAUCACUGUGAUAGAGAUCGUGGUGGAUCACGAGUGUUACUCUUCAGGUUUUACUUGUAUCCUGUUCGUGUGUCCUAAACUGUGCCUUAAAGGUCACGUACGACUGACUGUGCUUCUGUGAUUAGUACCUAAAGGUUCGUUUUGCAGAAAUGGAAGUACGCAGUGUUUGAAUAAAAUCCACUGAAUGAACACCCUGCAGACUGGCUGAGAAUAAAACCCAGCUCUUGUGUACACUGAAGUUCUAACUCAGACCUAACCGAUGAAGCUUAGCCAGGUGUUCUACUUCCAAAAAAGUUAAUCCUGAUGGGUAUGCUGGUUGAUUUUCUGUUAUACUGUCCUCUGUUUUUUCUUUCUUUACCUUCAGCAGUUACUGAGUCCUCUCAGGCUCAAUAUUUAUAUAUGUAUAUAAACAUGUCAGUAUUUAACCCA
Hirundo rustica (Barn swallow) is the source of this 806-nucleotide long non-coding RNA. RefSeq lists it as uncharacterized. The transcript is spliced from 2 exons. NCBI's taxonomy places the organism in Eukaryota, Metazoa, Chordata, Aves, Passeriformes, Hirundinidae. The record is from RefSeq and is a predicted model, not a curated record.